CCCAAAUCUCAUGGUGGAAUGGGGUUCCGGGAUAUGAAACUUUUUAAUCAAGCGUUGCUCGCUAAGCAGGCCUGGAGGUUGAUUGAAAAUCCUAAUAGCUUAUGUGUGCAGGUACUCAAGGCUAAGUAUUACCCCAAUGGGUUCUUGGUGGACACUGUGUUUACAGGCAAUGCAUCCUCAACAUAGCACGCUAUUGAAUACGGACUGGAGCUGCUAAAAAAAGGUAUCAUCUAG
Molecule: ribosomal RNA, 234 nt
Filed under: Triticum aestivum (bread wheat)
Lineage: Eukaryota; Viridiplantae; Streptophyta; Magnoliopsida; Poales; Poaceae
Description: partial small subunit ribosomal RNA
Source: RNAcentral